AAUCCAUAGGUUAAUGAGGCGAACCGGGGGAACUGAAACAUCUAAGUACCCCGAGGAAAAGAAAUCAACCGAGAUUCCCCCAGUAGCGGCGAGCGAACGGGGAGGAGCCCAGAGCCUGAAUCAGCAUGUGUGUUAGUGGAAGCGUCUGGAAAGGCGCGCGAUACAGGGUGACAGCCCCGUACACAAAAGCGCAUGUGCUGUGAGCUCGAUGAGUAGGGCGGGACACGUGGUAUCCUGUCUGAAUAUGGGGGGACCAUCCUCCAAGGCUAAAUACUCCUGACUGACCGAUAGUGAACCAGUACCGUGAGGGAAAGGCGAAAAGAACCCCGGCGAGGGGAGUGAAAAAGAACCUGAAACCGU
This 360-nucleotide ribosomal RNA is filed under the name Salmonella enterica subsp. enterica serovar Infantis. Its description in RNAcentral is "partial 23S ribosomal RNA". It matches the Rfam family "Bacterial large subunit ribosomal RNA", at positions 161 to 559 of the family's 2925-position model. Lineage: Bacteria; Pseudomonadati; Pseudomonadota; Gammaproteobacteria; Enterobacterales; Enterobacteriaceae. The record is from RNAcentral. RNAcentral also lists the same sequence under 271 other names.